Molecule: long non-coding RNA, 238 nt
Filed under: Lathyrus oleraceus (garden pea)
Lineage: Eukaryota; Viridiplantae; Streptophyta; Magnoliopsida; Fabales; Fabaceae
Description: Pisum sativum (pea) long non-coding RNA (PSAT_LNC040944)
Source: RNAcentral
UUUUUCAUGCAUUUAUUAUGAAAUGUGGUAAAGUUGUAAAGUAGGUUCCACAUUUAUCCUAAAAUAUAGUAUUUGUAUACAGGUUUUACCCGUAGUUAUUAAGAAAUGCGGUAAAAUUAUAAAGAAGGUGCAACAUUUGUCUUAAAAUGGAUGUGUUAUAAUUAUUUUUCACACAUUUGUAUGAAAUAUGCUAAAUUUACAAAUUAGAUACCACAUUUAUCCAAAAAUAUGGUAUUUG